Molecule: ribosomal RNA, 253 nt
Filed under: uncultured bacterium
Lineage: Bacteria
Description: partial 16S ribosomal RNA
Rfam family: Bacterial small subunit ribosomal RNA
Source: RNAcentral
UACGUAAGGUCCAAGCGUUAUCCGGAAUCACUGGGCGUAAAGCGUGCGUAGGCGGAUUGUUAAGUGCGACAUUAAAUCCUGUGGCUCAACCAUAUGGCUGUGCCGCAUACUGGCAAUCUAGAGGACAUGAGAGGCAAGUGGAAUUACUGGUGUAGCAGUGAAAUGCGUAGAUAUCAGUAGGAACACCAAUGGCGAAGGCAGCUUGCUGGCAUGUAUCUGACGCUAAGGCACGAAAGCGUGGGGAGCGAACAGG